RNAcentral lists this long non-coding RNA (27653 nucleotides) under Selaginella moellendorffii. RNAcentral's name for it is "long non-coding RNA (SMOE_LNC002188)". The record is from RNAcentral. Lineage: Eukaryota; Viridiplantae; Streptophyta; Lycopodiopsida; Selaginellales; Selaginellaceae.
AGACGAAGUCAAGUACAUUCCAAACACACUUGUCAGCUUUAUACAUAACUAGUCUUCUUAUCCCGCUACCCCUCAUCCGAUGGGAACACGAAUUUAAUUAACGUCGAGGUUCUCAGCUUCGAUCUGAUGAGAACAUCUGCUAUGUCACCUGACCAUGAAAACUGGUAGACAACACCAGGAACAGUCAAGACUCCGAGCCUCUGUGUGUCCAUGUUGAGGAUAGCAGGCAGAGAAGACAUCACAUGUGUUCGAAGACGCUGGAAUAAAAAACAAAAAAUACAACAUUGACACAAAUACUAGAUAACUGAUGCCUACCUCGUUCACAAAAAUUGUCAACUCUUUCCCAGCUAGCUUACCAGCCGUGCACUUGAUACUCAAAGCAGUUUCCUCCUUCAAUUCAGUGUGUACUGUGGUCCGAACGGCUUCGAUCGAUACGCCAAACACAGUCACGCCGUCUUCCAUCUCCUUGCAUUGUACACUUCCCUUUCCUGUUGGAUUGUAAUGAGAUGCAGGAAGAGACCAAACAAAAUACCCAUAUAAGAACUUGCACGUACCUCCUCGCAUCAACACUGUUGGGAACUUCGCCUCCCCCGAUUUUCUGCUCAUGUCCCCAAACUUGAGUCCUCCAGUAUCAACUGUACCGUCCAUCCUCGAACGGACAAUGUCGAAGACCUCCUCGAUGGUCGAGCAGCUGAUCGAGCCGUUAACGUGAUCCUGCAUCUUGAGAGCAAUCGUCAUCUGGAAAGGCAGGUAUGUCCUCUUUUUCUUCCGCUCAGGCGUCUCCUCUUUCUUGAUCCACUCUGGACUUCUCGCUCGCUUCUUCGACUGCUGCUGCAGCGGCUGAUCAUCUGGAACAUCUUCCACCACACACAAGGGUUCUGAAUCCAAAGACUUGCCACCCUCCAUCUUCACUAAAACGGCAUACACUUGAUCUUCCUCCUUCGUGCCUUGCAGGCCCGACGGAACGUCAGGAUGCUCCCUUCUGAACGCCAUCAGCAAAGAGCACAAGGCGUCGUAGUCGCUUUUGUUCAUUGCUCUCUGCUUCAGUGCAGUCGAGAUAUGGAAAAGGACAAAUGGGGGAUACACCGAGUCUAUCGGAGGGAAUGACAUGCUGCUAGGCUGUAGAUAGUGGAGGCCAGGUACUUGCAGGUUGAGACUGUUGCCUGAGAAGAACUUCACGUCACGCUUCUCCAAAUGCAGGCCAAUGGCAUCAUCAUUGAUGCUACAGAAGUGACCACCCUGCGAGAGUCGGUGGUGAGCAUAGCGUUCGAACAAGACCCAAGCUGCACUCUGCAGUGAAGGCAGUGCCCGAGUGCACUCCAUCCAGUCCUUGAUCUGUCCCUUGUAGCAUGCAAUGGCGAAACAAUCUACAACCCACUCCGAAGUGAAGGAGAUAUGAUCCACACAGGUAAAGUCCAGACUUGGCCAGGAAACAGAGGUCUCUGGCAAAAAUAAUGCACGGUAAAUGUUGAGCUCUCCCACUUUCACAGCAUGGUUCACAGCCAUGCCUAUCAUGUUGUAUACAAGUUCCAAAGGCAUGAAGUAGUACCUCACGAUUGGCCCGGCUAUGUAGUAAGUCGCCCAGAAGUCGACGUGCGACUUAUCUGCGUUCUCGGGCGCCGAGAAGUAAACCUGCUGCAACUCCUCGACAGACCAAGGAGGCAUGUAAAGCGCAAAGAAGUCUAUCUCAUUGAUGAGUUUGAGCGCGUCCACCCAAUUGCUCUCCUCCGGUGAUGCAAAGAGCACAGUAUGUCUAGCGAAGUUCCCAACAAACUCCUGAUCCGUGAGAAGCCAAGCCCCCGGGAUUUCGUAAUCCUCUUUAGAACCGGGCGCGUAACUCCCAUCCGGUUUGAAGAUGUAAACCCUCUUCUUCUUUUUUUCGACGAGCUGAACUAUCACGGCCGGUAUCCCUUCUUCACUGAGGAGCCGUUUCAGGACGUACCACAGAAAGCACGACUUGCCAAUUCCAGGGUUUCCUGAUAUGUGGAUGUAGCUCUUGCCCAGGCUUGCGAGCUCUCUCAUGUCGGCAUAGAGAUCCUCAUAGCAUUCCCGUAUCCACACUUUCCGCUUCCUCCUGGCGAUGGGAGGGAGAUCUAUCCACCUACCAUCAGGGUCUGUCGCUGCAUGCCCAUCAUCCCCAACUGGCGCUAUCGAUUCCAUCCGCACCUCUCUCCGGCUAGGGCCCUAAAGAGAGAAUAUACCUGAUAUGCUCCAGCUCAACUUAGAAAAUAUAUUUGUUUUAAAAAUAAUUAUAUCAAAUCAAACUUUUGUUUCAACAAAAUUUCCUCUUUUUUUUACCCUAAGUGUCUUGGAUUUUUUUUGGGCAGCAUAAUGGAAUUUUAGUAGCCAUUAGGUUAGUUUCAAUCUAGAUUAAUAUAUAAACUAAGGUUUUUAGGCUAAUUGAUAUGCAAAUUUUUUAUAUUCUCUUUCCUUAUUCCAUGCAUUCACACUGAUGGAGAUGAAAGGCAGUUUUAAUUAAAAUGCUAAAUAGAUCCAUUAUUUAGAUGUCCCUUUUCUUUUAGCUUUUCUCAACUUCUUUUUUUUUACUUAUUUCUUUUCAUUCAUUUACGUGGUAGAGUAACAACCUCCUUCUCCUUUGACUGGAGCACUAAUUGUGUACUCAGCCUGGUUUGAGAAACUUGAGUCAUUGGCUUGCACUUGUUAGUAUUAAGAACCCCUGCGAUAUUGAGAUUGGUCUCUCAAUAUUAUUUGAAUGAUAGUUUAUUGUGUCUACCAAACACCCUCGUUAUCAUUCCCUUUGUGUUAGUUUCACUUUAGUCCCAAAUGCUAUUUAUGGAAAGUGUUUAGAUUUAUUCAUUUGGCAUAUCUACGGAAUGUAGAGAUUGUUUUGAACACAAUGGUGUUUGUCCCGUGUCCAAAUUCACAAUCUAGGAACAUUCCAUAUUUAGUAAGUUUCAAGCUUGUCCCAGAGAUUAACUCCUGAUAUUAAGGAAGGUUUGGGGUGAAAGCCCAAAGCAUGUGUUCCUCAGGGGGGGUUCCAAAUGUAUAGUAGGGAUAGUGGGUAAGUCGGGCAUGGCCGACCAACCUAAGGCAUAGUCUAACUCUCGCUUGCGUGCUUGUCAUUAUUUUGCGUCGGGCUUGGGUCUAAACCUAAAUUGCUAGUUGGUGGGGUACCUAUAUCCUCGCAUUAAGCCACCGGUAUGCUGAAAUAGUGCCAAAUUUUGUUUGGCUCCAUUUUGUGUGUUGGUUCUAGCAUUGGGAUGCUAGUUGCUCUAGGAUUGUUCCAAGUCGCUCCGAGCUCCUGUCCCUUCGCUCCUUGGGCUGUAUGCUCGGGAGUUACUCUGUGGUUCGGUUCCAUCACUCCUUGGCUCUAUGCUUAGGAGUUUGGCAUCGUUCUUUCGUUCAGUGGCCCAAGGCCCUGAACCUCGGGUUCUGCACCAGACACGUGGCAUGUGUCACGUGGCAUAAAGAAGGUUUAUGUUCUGCUUCGUGGUGUUAUCCUAUAGUAAAUCACUAUAGGAUAAAAGGUAAAAACCACGUGCGCUACAUUUGGUAUCAGAGGAUAUGUCUUAGCGAGUACUUGGGCAACUAGUCUCAUUGCAUACACAGAAAUGAAAACGAUGAUCCGAGUGGGUACACAUUUGGGUGCAAAGACUUCACAAUCGUUCCUUAGAUAUGGAUUUUGGUUACCUUUUCGUACUAAAGUAAUGAGCUUGUGCUUGGGCUCAUAAGUUGGAUGUAAGGUGUUCUAUUUGAAUGAGUUUGCGCUUGGGCUCAUAAGUGAGGCACAUUAGCAACUUGAGGUUACACUUUGAAUUGGCAGGAUUAAUAUUAGCCUAUCGAUGGUUUCAUGAAUUGUUCCAUGUACCGUGAGUGAAAGAAACCUUCCCUGGGUUUGUUAUGAGUGGCAAAUAAGUUGGUCCAUAGCUAUUUAGCACGGCACUAGUGGAUCCUUCCUAGGUAUGAUUACAAGUGGAUCAAUCAAGACUGUAGGGAUUAAUCUAUUGAUUCAAAUAGUCAUUGCCGUGCUCUCUUAUGAACUUUUCUUGGAUUAGACUGAAGGCAGUGUGAAUGCAAGUUGGAGGUUUAGUAAAAAAUGAGACCGAAAAGAGAGUUGUCAGGGACAAAGGAUCAAACACGUAAAUCAUUUUGUCUUUUUGGAGAGAUGAUUUAAAACGAGGUGUUGUUCACAAUAUGCAAUCAAGAUUCCCUACCUUAAUGCAUGUUAAAAAUUAUAAUCUUGCAAGUGGUGAGUCAUGGGAUGGAUAGUGGUGAAGUGUUAUACCAUUUUGUCUAGGCUUGCUAUUGAAGACUUAGGUUGCAAUGCUCAAUUCUUUUCCGAGGAAUCUUGCUAUUGCUCCUUGAAUAGCUUGGUGUUGGAUUAGUUUUGAGUUUGGUCGGAAAGAGAGUAGUAUAAGCUUGUCCAUGUUGUGAACAAAAGUUAGUGGUGUUAAGUGUUGUAAAUCUUUAUUGGUGGAGUGUGGCAUUUAUGGUGUAUUUUGUUGAAUAGAGUUGGCAUUUGAUAUUCACAUAAAUUUUUGUAGUAGUGACAUAGGUGCUACUCAUAGUGUUACUCAAUUGAUGACCAAGUCAUUGUGAUACUUAUAUCAUAUCCAUGUGAUAAUGAGAAAUGUGUUUACAAAGUUGCUUGGGUAAACAAUAAUCAACCCCAAAGUGGUUGAUAUUGAAACUGGUCUACUUACAUAAAGUAGCAUUGUAGUAGCUUUGACUGAAUUCUCGAUGGUGGUUCAUUAUGCUAAGCAUAAGUUGGUACUUUGUUCCUUGAGGGUUUGCCUAUAAGGUAUUGGAAAAGAGUUGUAGCAUUCACUUGUUAUGGUUUGUUGGUUGAUCCAUUAGCACUUGGAGUAAAUUUUUGGAUGGAGAAGAUGUGUAGUUGAGGCAUUGAUAUCGCUGGCAUUUGUGUUAGUGCAAGUGGCAUUGUUAUUUCGAGUGAUGAGGAAUUUUCCUUAGACCUUGAUUUUUCAUGUCAUUUUUCUUGUUAGUGUUUUGGCUUCACAUUGGAUCUUGAAGGUGGUUAAAGAAGAGCAUUACUGCAAUAUGGAUAUCUGAAGAUAUGGUCUUCAUGAUCAAGCCUUGGAUGUUCAUUUUGUAUUUUACGGAUGUCAAUGUUAGAUUCAGAAAAAUGGGCAAAAGAUAUUCGAAGCUUAAGCAUAUUGUUGGAUCAUGAGAAUUUGUGUUGAGGUGAACCUAUGUGAAGUUGUUUGUAAGAGGAAGUUGGAUGAGUCUUAAAAUUUUGCAUUCCUGGACUGAGAGUCAUUCUUUCUCUAAGAUGGAAAAUUUUCCACAAAUUUGCUUAGACUUAUCCAAUGGCUGAGCUGUUGAUCACUUUGUUCGAAAACCAUUCUAUUUUCGUAAGCCAAUACAAACUAGUGAAGGGGUUGGAGUUGACCUUGGUUAGCUUAGACCUUAGUAAGUGGUUUGUAUGAUGCGACCUGAAAGGGAUACUAACUUUUAGGGCUAAAGCAAUUGAGUUGGAUAAAGUUUGGAGUUGGUGUAGAAAAGUAGCCAUUGCACUUUUUUAAAAAGGUGACCUUUGUGCCUUUCUUCUAUAGCAUUUUGCUUAGUGGCAAGUUGUAUCUUGCAUUUCAUUAAACUCUAUAAGACUAGUGAGCUUUCACUGAUCUUAACUUGGUCUUGAUGGUUUUGCAUGUUGGUUGAGGAUAGUGAUGUCCAACUUAGUUGUUUAAUGUUAAGAUGUUAGUACCCAUACUAUAGCCUUGUUAGUGAGGAAGUUGUGUACCGAUAUGAGUUCAUCUUAUGGUCUCCCUUUGGUUUCGACUGAGUGUUGAUAAUGCAUAGCUAGCUUCUUCAAAGGAUGCUCAGAGAUAUUGGCUAGACGUGUUGGUGAGCUUAUUUUAGUUGAGUUAGAUUUGAGUGGCCAUUUAGUUUGUGCUUGUUCAUGUUCCUAUAUUUCGUACCUGAAGUAUUAUGUUUAUAUUGAACAAGUAUAUAAUUUGAUGAUGCGAGUUUAAUGUUGGGUCUUGUGAAGGUAAGUUGAAGAAUGGUUGUUGGUUGCUUUGCAACUAAUGAUUGCUUGUAGACUUUGCUAAAGACUGUUAACACUUGCUUCACUCAAUAAACUUGCUUUACCGAAUGGUGUUGCAGAGGAUUGUGUCAUGGCUUAGAUGGUUUUUCCAUGUUAGCAUGUCGAUUCUUCUAUUGAUAUCAUUUGGUUACGUGUUGGAUUUCAUGGAGUUUUGGAUGUGGUGAAUCACUCCUUGAUGAUGUGUUAAUUGAAAUUGAGUAUUGUUGGAGGAUUAGUCUCAGAUACUGAUUAAUGUAUCUUCGACUUUGGUUAGCUUAGUUGCUAAAGAGUUUUGAGUGGUGAUUCACUCUUGCUUUCUUCUAACUUUGUUAUAGUGUUGAUGGCAUUGAAGUGAUGCCUUGUCAUUGACACUGUUAAUGUUAAGAUUUGAGUGAAAUCAAAUUUCUCUCCUUAGGAUUGAUAUUGUGUGUCAAGACCCCUGACAAGAUCAAGAUUGGAAAAUGCAAAAAGACAAAGAGAAAAGCUAGUGGAAACAAAGAAGAAGCCUUAGACUGGCGUUGAUUCAGAUUGUGGAGAAAUGGAACAAGGCUAACCUAUAUAUACUAUAGGUUGAUGAAGCUCCACCACUCUUGGAUCGAGGACGGCCUAAAUAUAGCUGAGGUCGAGGAGGCGCCACAUCAUCAUCAGGAAUGUGGCUCAAGACUCAGGAAUCGGGAAGUGUCUCAAGAGUCAGGAAUAGGAAAGUGUCUCGAGAGUCAGGAAUGUGGUCUGUAGGUCAGGAAUCCGGCGAGAGUCAGGAAUGUGGCAAGAAUUGGGGGAUUCCUGAUAGCACCCCCUCCUCAAGAACGAGUGGAACGAGGAUGUGAACGAGAACGAAGAGGAGGAUGGGAUAAGCGGCGAGGGAUGGGAGAUGGAGAAAAAGAAUGAGGACUGGGACGAGAAGGAUAGCGGCGGUGGAAGUCAUGAACAAGGUCAGGAGAAUGAAGCAGGUUGUCUGCAGGUUCCCAAGUGCGUUCCUCAGGUCCGUAACCCUUCCAGUCCACCAGAUAGUAGAGUUUAGACCGUGAAAUCUUGGAAUCAAGGAUGUCCUGAACCUUGUACUCAGACCCAUCCUCGAGCUGCACUGGUGAAGGCGGAGGAAUGACCCGAUUUGCAAUAGGACUGGGAAUAUAAGGCUCAAGGAGAGAGGAGUGAAAAACGGGGUGAAUUUGAUAUGAGGAGGGAAGUGUAAGGCGAUAAGUGACAGGAUUAAUGAUGGCAGUGAUAGGGAAAGGACCAAGGCGUUUGAAAUCGAGUUUUGGACAGGGCCUGGUGGUGGAGAUAUUUCACCUGAGGAGCCAGACUUUAUCCCCGAUAUUGUAAGGGGGACAAUCUUGACGAUGGAUAUUGGCAAAUGUUUUAUGAAAUUCCUGAGCACGAUGGAGGUGGAAGGAGAUGGAGUUGUGGAUUUCCUGGAGGUUGGAGAUAAAUGCCUCAGAGCGGGGAUUUGAACGAGAGGAUUCAGAUGGAGAAGGAAGUGAGAGAUUGAAUCGGGGAUUUCAGCCAGAGUUUGCAAAGAAGGGGGAAACUCGAAGAGAGGAGUGAACAGAGUUGUUAUAGGAGAACUCAGCAAGGGGAAGGAUAUCGAACCAGUUAUCCUGAUGAUAGUUGAUGAAGCACCUCAAGAAUUGUUCCAACGUCUGAAUCGUUCGCUCGGAUUGCCCAUCAAUUUGAGGAUGAUAUGCCGAAGAGAGGUUGGCCUUCACUCCAAGCAGCUGCAAAAACUGUUGCCAGAAAUGAGAGAUGAACUGAGGCCCCCGAUCCGAAACCACAUCUGUAGGAAUCCCAUGAAGUCGGAAAAUUUCCCUAAAUACCAGUUUUGCCAUGUCCUCGCCCGAAAACUCCUUGGUACAUGGCAAGAAGUGCGCCAUCUUUGUGAAGCGAUCCACCACGACUAAAAUGCUGUUGAAGCCUCUAGAACUCGGAAGAUCACUCAAGAAAUCCAUGGAGAUGGAUUCCCAAGGACCUGAAGGGACCGGAAGGGAACGAAGCAAACCUGAAGGAAGGUGGCGAGGUACCUUAUUCCGGGCACAAGUGUCAUAGGAGGUAACAAAAGCUUUGAUGUAGUCGUCCAUGUGAGGCCACCAAAAGUCCCAUGCAACUAGCUCAUAGGUUUUCACAAUGCCGAAGUGACCAGCAGUCGGGCUAUCGUGGCACGCCAUCAGGACCAACCUUCGAGCAUCACCUUCAAGAACGUAAAGCUGCUCCCACGGUACAAUAAGCCAUCUAAGAACUCGAACUCGUCAAAUCGCCGGCAGUCGGGAGUCACUGGGUGUCCAGCCUGAAGAUGGGGGAAAAUGUCGCUAGCGAGAUCAUCGGAUUGAAGAUCGUUUCUGAUUGCAUCCAUCAAGGAGGAGUCCUGAGGGGCCAGGGAAAUUGCCAUAACUUGAAGCCGAUCAAGACCGAGGAUAACUUGAUCCUGUUGAUCAAAGGCAGGAUUACCAGGCCUAAGACUGAGAUAGGAGCGCCUUGAAAGAGCAUCAGGAAGGCCUUGAAACUUUCUAGGUCUAUACUUGAUAACAAAGUCAAACCGACUCAGGAAUUGUGCCCACCUUGCUUGACGACGGCUUAAAACUUGGGAAGUGGCAAAGUACUCGAGAUUUUUGUGAUCCGUCCAGACUGUUCUUUGAUGGCUCGCCCCCUCCAAGAAACGGCGCCACUCUCCAAAAGAAUCCACGAUGGCAAGGAGCUCCUUGUCGUGGAUUUCAUAAUUGAUCUCCGCAGGCUGGAAUUUCCGAGAAUGGAAAGCGACCGGAUGAAGUUCGUGAUCUGCUCCAAGUUGAGACAGCACAGCACCAAUGGCAAAGUCGGAGGCGUCAGCCUCGAUGAAGAAAGGUUGUGAGGAAUCAGCAUGGAUCAAGACAAGAGCAGAACUGAAGGCUGCCUUGAGUGUGUCGAAGGCCUGCUAGGCAACAGCAGACCAAGAGAAGGGAACAUCCUUGCGAGUGAGAUGUGUGAGAGGAAGGACAAUGUUAGAGUAGUGAUCAAUGAAUUUGCGGUAGAAGUUAGCGAAGCCAAGGAAAACCUGAACGUCCGACAUUGAUUGUGGAGGCUCCCAUUCGAGAAUAGUCUUGACUUUGGCAGGAUCCAUCGUGAUACCCUCAGGAGUGACAAUGUACCCAAGGAACUCCACAGACUGCUAAUCAAAGGAACAUUUCUCAAGCUUCGCGUAUAGGCCGUGUUCUCGCAGCUUCGCUAGCACCUUGUGAGCAUGUUCGUCAUGCUCCUCCUGAGUUUUUGAGUAGAUGAGGAUGUCAUCGAGAUAGACGAUCACCAUCUGAUCAAGAAACUCCCGAAAGACGUCGUUUGCCAUGUGUUGGAAAACUGCUGGAGCAUUUGUCAAGCCAAAUGGCAUAACAGUGUACUCGAAGUGGCCAUAGCGGGUUCGGAACGCAGUCUUCCAUUCAUCACCAGGCCGGAUCUGGAUCAGGUUGUAUGCUCCACGGAGGUCGAUCUUGGUGAAGAAGCGGGCACUGCCGAGGCGUUCCAACAGGUCCGAGAUUAGGGGCAGCGGAUAACGGUUCCGAACAGUCACCUUGUUCAAACCUCGGUAGUCGAUGACUAGCCGCAAGCUCCCAUCCUUCUUCUUGACAAAGAAGACAGGCGCUCCAGCCGGGGACUGCGAAUGCUGAAUGUAGCCCGAGGCAAGGUUCUCAUCCACGUACUCUUUGAGGGCCUUAAGCUCGGACGGGGAUAACCCAUAGAUAGGCCCCCACGGAGGUGACGCUCCUUCCUGUAAAUCAAUGGGACAAUCAUAAGGCCGAUGAACAGGCAGUACACUAGCUUUUUUCUUAUCAAACACAUCCCCAAAAUCAUGAUACUUCUCAGGAAGACUGAUAGGAGAAACAUGCAAAGCAAAAAGAAAAAGAGGUUCUUCAUGAAGGAGUUCUUUCAUAGUGAUUGUGGAGAUAGGAGGAGGCGUACGACUAAAUGGAAUGAUGAGACGAGGAUAUGGUCCAGUGUAAGAUGGAAGAGAGGAAAAAGAAGAGGGUGAAAACUUUAUAGAGUCAGGAACAAAACCCCGAUUUGAGUUUAGGGAACUUUUCCUGAUUCGGACUCGAUGAACAGUAGGGGAAGCUGUGGGAGAGAUGAGCUGUAAUUCCUUCCAACAGAUCUAAGGCUGAUGUAGUUAGAACCAAGGAAGAUCGAGCACCACAGAGGAGGACUUGCUGUUGAUGAUGUUGAAGGCGAUAUCGGUGACGGUGGACCCGAUGUGUACUUGAACGGGCAACGUUUCCCUAAGUCUAGAAGAUGGAGACACAAAAUGCCCGCCGAUGCCUUCAACCCUCAAAUCCCGUAUGGUAGGAGAAAGAGGAACGUGAUGUCGGGCAGCAAAGUCCAUGUCCAUGAAGCAGGAAGUUGCACCCGAGUCCAGUAAUGCCAGAGCCUUGAGUCCUGAUUGUCCGGUGAAAGAAAGGAGACAUGGGACGCGGAAGUUGCGGGAAUUGGUGGUGGCUUUGAUGAAAGGUGGUGAGGAGUUUGAUAAAGAAGAAAAGUGAUUUUUAUUCGGGGAGUCCAAACAGACAGCUCCUACUCUGUUUGGACAGGAUCGUUUCCCGACUGCAAUAGAGGUGGACUUUGAGGCAGAGUGAACUCGAGCAGUCGAGGAGGCUUCUUGGGACAUACAGCUGCUUUGUGAUUAGGAUCAGCACAAUAGAGGCAAAGAUUGUGAGAUAUUCGACGUUGCUUCUCAGCAGGACUCAACUUCCCUCUAAUGAGUCGGGGAGUACCAGAAAUAUCCAUUGGAACCGGAGCAGUAGGUUCAGGAGUAUGCCCCGAAGACUCAAGCUGGGAUUCCUGAGUCUGGGACGGAAAAACAGCGGCGCGGCGACUUUCCUGACGACGUUCAAAGAGACGAUUGUCACAUCGAACAGCUUUGUUGAUGGCAUCCGACAGGUCCUUGGGAUCCUCCAUGGUGAGCAACAAAUCCUUGACACCGUUGUUGAGGCCGAAACGAAAUUGGUCAAUCAGGGCCUGCUCAUCCCACUGAGUGUCCAAAGCAAGGAGUUGGAACUCUGCAGCAUAGAUCGAAGCAGGACGAGACCCCUGAGAGAGACGUCUCAUCUUUGUGGUAGCAGCCCAAACCCGAUCUGUCUCGCCAAAACAUGCUUCGAGCUUCUCUUUGAACAAUGAAGAUCCAUCAGCUCUGGAACCACGACCCCUUUCAUGCUCUUCUCCAGAAGAGGAGAAAACCAUGACAAAGCUGCACCUUCGAGCAACGUCCCAAUCGUGCCGAUUUGAGACUCGGGAGUAGGGUACUGCUGAUGUUGAAGUGCAAAGAUCAACUCCAUCUGGUUCAGGAAUCCGCGAAGCUCCAAACGCUUGCCUGAAAAUUUUGCCGGGAAGCUCACCUUCGGUUCAGGAACUUUGCUGGAUCCUUGAGCCGAAAGUGAAGCAAGCUCCUGCUGCAUGCGAAGAAGGGUCGCCUUCAGCUCGGUAUUCUCAGACUGGAUUUUUGCAAGGACUUCAGCAAAGAAAUCAGGAUGGCUUGGAGACUCCAUUGGCAAGAAGAAAGGAAAAAGGGGGAAAAAAAGGCAAAGGUAAUCAAACAAUCAAAACGAGCUAAAUCAAAAAACGAAAAAACACAAUCUGAAUCAAACUGUCAAGACCCCUGACAAGAUCAAGAUUGGAAAAUGCAAAAAGACAAAGAGAAAAGCUAGUGGAAACAAAGAAAAGGCCUUAGACUGGCGUUGAUUCAGAUUGUGGAGAAAUGGAACAAGGCUAACCUAUAUAUACUAUAGGUUGAUGAAGCUCCACCACUCUUGGAUCGAGGACGGCCUAAAUAUAGCUGAGGUCGAGGAGGCGCCACAUCAUCAUCAGGAAUGUGGCUCGAGACUCAGGAAUCGGGAAGUGUCUCAAGAGUCAGGAAUGUGGUCUGUAGGUCAGGAAUCCGGCGAGAGUCAAGAAUGUGGCAAGAAUUGGGGGAUCCUGACAUUGUGUUUCAUUAGUCUCGAUGAAAAUAGUGUUGAUGAUUUGGUUAUGGCUUUGUGUUAUUUGCAUUCGUGCAUUGCUAGUUAGCAACUAUGUUGACGUUCAAAUGAACUAAGUGGCAAGUUUGAGUUAGUUGUGUUCUAGACGAGAUUAUUUAGUAGGGGUUGAGCUUUGGCUUUUCUUUGAAAAGUGAUUUAAUCGUGGAUUAUGCUAACUUUACAAGAGAAAGAGUUAAUGAUUGAUAUUGAAGAUGUUAGUCCUUUGUUGGAUUUGCGUUAUGAUAUAUUUAUCAUUGAUGAUUCUUUUUAUGCUUGUUAUGAUGUGAGUUACGUCUUGUUAUAGAUGGAUUCAUAGAGGAUCGGUUUGAUGAUCACUUGUUAAGCAUAACUCCAUUGUGCUUGGCUUUUGGAUUGAUACAGAUAUGCUCUUCAUUAGCUUUGCAUUAUGAAGUUUGGAUUAUAGAUAUGUUGAGGAGGAUAUUGUGGGUUGUAUUAUGAUUUCUUCUUUAACAUUGAAAUUAGUUCAUGCGAGACUCGUGAUCAUUGUUAUGCAAGACUUGGCUAUAGACUUCUUCAAACAUUUGGUUCCUUGAGUUUUCAUGCUCAUUCUUCCAUUUGUUAAAAGUUGUUGGGGGAAGGCAUUUUGGCUCAUUAAUUUCAAUAUUAAAGUUAAUGUUUGCAUUUGGCAAUCAUUGGUGAUGAUUGCUAUCAUUCACAAUAGUUGAUUAUCCUUGUUAAAGGUUUUGCUUGAUUAUUGUUGAUGUAAAAUGAUGUGCCAUUUUUCGGGAUGGUGAAUUCUUUUUUCAACGAUGAUUAUACAUCUCUCUUUUUGAUGAGAUGAUUGAUGGUUUUUCAUGAUAGUUAAUUGUUUUCUUUGAUGGUUUUUGGUUUUUCACAUUACCACAUGUUCUUUGUGUUCUGCUUUGGAUUGGUCUCUUGGGUUUGAGAUAUCGAUAGGAUGUUACUAACACUUGCUUGAGCAACUAUGGUUCCUUGGUAUUGUUAACCAUAAUCUAUUUAGAUUGGCUAGUGCAUUAGUUGGCAUGAAUGAAUGUUUGUUGGUCUUACCACAUUCAUUCUGUUCUGUUGAUUAUUGCUUGAGUUAGUUCUAAUAAAUUAAGAUGUUAUUUCCUUCGGAUGAUACAUUUGCGAGCAUUGUGCUUGCCAGUCGAUGAUACUUUGUGUUCUUUUAGUUGUCUUUUGUAAGUUGUUUUGCAUGCUCUCUACAAUCUUUGAUAAUUAUGUUUUAUCAUUGAUGUUUCUUGAUGAUACACUGACUAUUGAAUUUUGUUGGAUAGUGCAUCCUAUGUUUUCCAAACAUGAUGCUCUUGGUGGAUCCUAUAUAUUAUAAUACUUGUUUAUCGGAUGAUAACUUACUUGGAAUAAUUUUGUGUUCUCAUUUAAGAUUUAUUCACUGAUAAUUAAGACUUUAAGAUAUCAUUGUUUAUGACUUUGAUAUUGUCCAUCUAUUUAUCUUUGAGUUUGGGCCAGUAUAGGCAGCCUGGCUUCGGCACUCUGUGUAUCAAAAAUUACCUAUCGGCUAGUCCUUUCGAAUAUUCUUUCUUUACUGCUAUGAUGGUAGGAGGUCAGUAUUGCUAGACCAGUUAUCAGUUUCCCACUUGAGCUAGUUGAGAAACUGGUCAAUGACCAUGUACUUAAAUUGAAUAAACAUAAGGUAGGAACCCUAUGUGUUUCUUGCUGAGCGUACUCAGCUUGGUUUGAGAAACUUGAGUCAUUGGCUUGCACUUGUUAGUAUUAAGAACCCCCGCGAUAUUAAGAUUGGUCCUUCAAUAUUAUCUAGAUGAUAGCUUACUGUGUCUACCAAACACCCUUGCUAUCAUUCCCUUUGUGUUAGUCUCACUUUAGUCCCAAAUGCUAUUUAUGGAAAGUGUUUAGAUGUGCUCAUUUAGCAUAUCUACGGAAUGUAGAGAUUGUUCUGAACACAAUGGUGUUUGUCCCGUGUCCAAAUUCGCAAUCUAGGAACAUUCCAUAUUUAGUAAGUUUUAAGCUUAUCCCAGAGACUAACUCCUGGUACUAAAGGAGGCUUGGGGUGAAAGCCCAAAGUGUAUGGUCCUCAGGGGAGGGGGGUUAUGGGGGGUUCCAAAUGUAUAGUAGGCAUAAUCUAGUUCUCGCUUGUGUGCCUGUCCUUGUUCUGCAUUCAGCUUGGGUCUAAGCCCAAGUUCCAUACCAUGCUAGUUGGUGGGGUACCCAUAUCCUCACGUUAGGCCACUAGUAUGCUGAAAUAGUGCCAAACUCCAUUUGGCUCCGUUUUGCGUGCUGGUCCUAGCAUUAGGAUGCUGGUUGCUCUAGGAUUAUUCCAAGUUGCUCCAGGCCCUGUCCCUUCGCCCCUUGGGCUGUAUGCUCGGGAGUUACUCUAUGGUUCGGUUCCGUCAUUCCUUGGCUCCAUGCUUGGGAGUUUGGCACCAUUCUUUUGUUCAAUAGCCCAAGGUCUUGAACCUCGGAUUCCGCACCACUGUCCUUUGGACAUAUGGCAUAUGACACGUGGCAUGUGUCAAGUGGCAUAAAGAUGGUUUAGGUUCCACUUCAUAGUGUUAUCCUAUGGUAAAUCACCAUAGGAUAAAGGGUAAAAACCACAUGCGCUACAAGUUCGUGCAAUUGUUUGAUGGAAUAUAGUUGCAACUGAACAAUCGAACUUAAUUGAUGGCAAUAUUCAUAGCACGUGGUAUAGCUCCUCUUGCUCUUGCUACUAAUCCUCGCAUCUAGCCAAAGUUAUUCAGUGGGAAUUUUGGGAAUGAUGUGUACUAUUGAUUCGUUGGAUGAUGCUUAAUGUUUGUGUGAGUUUCCCACAUAUCUCCAAGGGAUGGUGCUGCGGUGGUACAAUGGUAUGAGCACAGCCAUUUAUGAGGAUUUGAGUAUUUUCCUAGACGUAUUUAAACUUGUAUUUAGAUAUGCUAAUAAUUGUGAUGAUGCCUUCCAAAAAUUACAUCAUAUUCAUCAAGGGCUAUAUGAGUCGGUGAUGUAAUUUAGCGUUCGAGGAAGUGGAGCUGAAGGAUGUGUAAUGAAAAGUGGAAGAGGUAAUGUCUCAUAACGUUAUGUCAAGUGAAGGGCAUUGUCAAGGAUGGCUAGAGCAAGUGUAUGCCCAAAUUCUACAAAAUCUUGACAAAAUGUUAGCCAUAACAUUUAUAGCUUGAUCCACUUUGACAUAUUUAACUCCGCAUAAAGCAAGAGUCCACUUCCUAUGAAAGAUGGUUAUGUUCCAAUGGAAAUUGAUAUUACUGUUGCCCAAGUUCAAGAACAAAGGCAAGGAUGUGGUUAUAAUCGUGAUGUUCAUUGUUGGGAGUCUGAUAAAGUUAGUUACACUUAUCAAUGUUGUUGGCAUUUUCUGGAUUAGUGACUUAUAUUUCCUAGGUGUCAACAAUGUCUUGUUCAUGUUGUUGUAGUGGAAGGUUUGGACACCGAGAUGCAUCCAGAAAACGAGGAACCCCACUGUAAACUCCUGAGUAGUAGAGGACCUUGCGUGAAUACCAUCUGCACACCAUGCUUUGGCUAGGGCCCUGAAGAGAGAAUAUACCUAUGCAAUUCUUUCUAUAUAGAUAUAUAUAUAUAUAUCCUUUAGCUCCAACUUAGAAAAUAUAUAUUUUUAAAAAAAAAUUAUAUCAAAUCAAACUUUUAUUUCAACAAAAUUUCCUUUUUUUCUUACCCUAAGCAUCUUGAACUUUCUUCUGGGCACAAGUGAUAUUAAAAUAAGUAAUUUUUAUUUAUUCAGAUUAUUUUUAUAUCUUGUUUUUAAUUGCACACAAAAUUAUUAUGCAUACAAUCAUGUUUCAAUUGCACAACACAUCUCACAUGAAUAGACAUUUUAUGUAACAUAUGCAACUAUAUCAUCUUAUUUUUUUACUAAUUUAUGAUCCAUAUUAUUACCAAAGUGCAAUUACACUUUUUUUAUUGUACACAAAAGGUAUCACUUUUGAAAGUAACACCUGGAUAUCUAUUAUUACAUGAUCCACUAUUCCCAAAAUUUAUAAUGUAAUGACAUUAAAUCCAAAAGAAAGAGAUGCAAAAACAACAUAAAUAAGCAGAUAGUUGAUUUCCUAGAAUGCACUAGUCUUUUAGUGCUCUAGCUUUUGUUAUGGAGCAAUUAAUCAUAUUCUACUCUUCUUUCCCUUAAAAUCCACACAAAAAUUUUAAGGCUUCAUAUGUUAAAAAAUAAGCUUUAAUAAUGUGCUAGAAAAAUCAAUAUAGAGGAAGAAAGCAAUGGGUUUUAAUCUGCUACAUGAACAUAAUACAUACUUGUUAUUUUUUCCACAAUGUCCCAAUCAAUUAUCCAUCAAUAUACCCUUGAGAUAAUGAUUUAAACUGAAAACAUGUGUGUGAAGCACAAAAUUGCCAUUGAUUGGAGGAAGGACUUGUGACAAUUGUCCCAUGGGAUGCCUGAGCCAAGCUUUUAUAUCAUGGUCAAUUUUCAGUGAUCUGGUGGACUUUUUGGUAGGGCGUGAAGGGCUAAAUUAUCCAUGGGAAACUGUGCUCCUCAUAGGAUCUUCUAGAGGGAGUGUUGAGAUAAAUAGUCUCUGGGCAUUUGCUAUAAAUCUACCUAACAUUUCUUUUAUAUAUAAGGGAGGUUCUUUUCAUUUUGUUUAAUAUAGCCAUUGAUCAAGGUUUAGCCCAAGCAUUUUUUGUAUAUAUAGAGUGGUGUUUUUUUUUCAUCCUGUUCAAUAUAGCCAUUUAUCAAGGUUCCUAUUAUUUUAGCUUUUAUUUUAAUAUCUUUUCAUUAAUUUUUUAAAAAGCAAGGAUAUAUACCCAAGAAAAGAAACUAUAGUGAAUGAAGUAAUAUUCUUUAGUAGAGUUGCCAAAUAUUAAGUGUUGGAGCAACAUAUUUAACUUUCUCUCAAUUGUUAUUUAUCCUCCAAGGGAAAAGGGGCAAUAUAAAAAUAUUUUCUCAUACCAUUAAAAUAUUUUUAUAGUAAAAUAUUUAAGGGAAUCUCACUUCGCUACAAAUUGAUACAUUAGGCAAACUGUAAAGAUAAUUGGAAUCAAAGUUGGGGAGGAGCCUCCUACCCUUUUCAAAAGAUCAAGGCAAAUUUCUUCAAGGUCUUUUUCUUUUUUCUUUUUCUUAGUCUUUUGGAUCUUAAUCAAACUUGCAACUUGAAUAUACCAUUCCCAAGGAUGAUGGCACAUUGCAAUUGUUUGUGGGUUUUAGAGUCUAGCGUGACAACUAAAGGGCCUUAUGACUGUAAUCCCCAUAUGAGCUAGAGUGGCUCACUUGAGUUUUUACGUAAAACGUUGUUGAUGUUCGUAUAUUCCAGCACCUGACAUGGGAAUGAUAUUUAUUUCUUCACAAACCAUGGCUUGGAUUCUAGAUGAAUACUCUAAGUUUCAAGGGUACUCUCCAACAAUAGUCACUGGAAAGCAACUUGUAAGCUUGUAUUUUUAUGAUUAUGUGAUUUUUUCUCUUAUAUUAUUUUUGCUUCUCAGGACCUCAGUGGCUCUGUAGGACGUGAGGCUGGCACUGAAAGAGGAGUUGUAUACGUGACUGAAGCAUUACUUGCUAACCAUGGCAAAUCUCUCUUGAACCAAACUUCUUUUAUGAUCCAGGUAGAACAAUUUAUAGCUUCCAUUGUAUCUCUUGGGCUGUUAUUUCUCUGACUGAGAGGUCUUGCAAGGCUUUGGCAACGUUGAUCACCAUACUGCCUAAUUCCUCUUUAUGGCCAAAGGAAGAGUCAAGGUGGUAAGUGAUAUAACCGAAGCAAUUGAUGGUUUUUGUGACCAGAUUUUUGCAAAGAAGGGCAUCAGGACAUCCUUGCAAGCUCAGGUGGUGUCACACGCUCUUUUUGUACACAAGUAUUGGUUUGAGCAUUUGCUAUUUCUCUUUCAUAUAAAACAAUCAAGGCUUUACGUGGGAUGCAUUACUGGAACUUGCAGAAUCUGUCACGGAAGAUUGGGAGGCUUUCAAAUACACAUAUAGGCAGGAUUCCACUGGCUCUACAAAACAUACAAGAUAAAAAAAAACAGAAAACAUGACUUCCGUUGCCCUAAAGUGCCCUAAAGGAAACGGUCAUGUCAACUAAAAAGGUUUGGAUAAAGUUGAAUUUGAUGGCAUCACGCUGAAUGCUUGAAUCAAAUGGAUUGAUAACCAAGAAUUCUUUCAAACAUUACUUAGGGGGGAGAAUUUGCAGCCACUGAGGUGUCACUUACAAUCGACAUUGCGUAAUUAGAGGAGUGCUGUGCCACAACUCUGACAGUUGUAUAUAUGUGGCAGAAGUACAUUUUUUUCUCUUCCUUUCUUUUGUUUUGGUUUGCAGUCCAAACCAGUAGAUGACUUGAUACAAACUCCAUGUGGCGGAAUUCCCGAGACCUUAGCCCUUGACUGCAUUAAACGUUUCCUGAUGACAAAAAUAGCAAAGUGAUGAGAUUAUUUUAUUUGUUUAGCCUCUUUUCUAAUUUCUCAGAGCGCUCAAAUGAUGCACCUAAACGAAAGUUGACAAGUUGGAAAACACUUAAGCGAGAGUGUCCCUAGAGAGUGUGCCGCAGCUCUCUACCUCAAGUUGGCCGUCGUGCUUGCUACUUCCAGAGGAGGAGGAGCUGGAGCAAGCUCGUCCAGCUCACAAUCGCCGCCUCCGUGGUAAAUCAUCGGCAAUCUCCCACGAAGGCACGCGGACUAUCCACGCUCUUGGCUGAAUGUGCAUGUUCCUCCAGAGUCCAGCCGCGAGGAACACAUUGCGGGGCAAUGCAAUCUUGAUGAUCGUGGAGGUAGACUGCACAGCCUGCAAGUCGAUGGUCACGGAGGGAUCUUGAUGAUAAAUGGCUUCAAUAUCUCGGAUUUUGCGGUUCCAGAUCAAGGACGUGAUAAAGGCUGCUUCCUUUCCCUACAGUCCCUGCGAUGACCGGCUCGUCUCACCCACUUCCGGCUCCUUCGAUCUGGAGCGCCACUACUCCCACGAAUCUGCUCAUCCCGGGCCCAACUCGCCCACGAAUCGAUUUCCACGUGGCAUGUCCAGCUGUACUGAACCAUUUGAAUUUAGACGAAGUCAAGUACAUUCCAAACACACUUGUCAGCUUUAUACGUAACUAGUAUUCUUGUCCCGCUACCCCUCAUCCGAUGGGAACACGAAUUUAAUUAACAUCGAGGUUCUCAGUUUCGAUCUGAUGAGAACAUCUGCUGUGUCACCCGACCAUGAAAACUGGUAGACAGCACCAGGAACAUUCAGGACUCCGAGCCUCUGUGUGUCCUCUGGUACCAUGUUGAGGAUAGUAGGCAGGGAAAACAUCACUGAUGUUUGAAGACGCUGGAAUAAAAGAAAAAAAUACAACAUUGAUACAAAUACCAGAUAACUGAUGCCUACCUCGUUCACGAAAAUUGUCAACUCUUUCCCAGCUAACUUACCAGCCGUGCACUUGAUACUCAAAGCAGUUUCCUCCUUGAAUUCAGUGUGUACUGUGGUCCGAACGGCUUCGAUCGAUACGCCAAACACAGUCACGCCGUCUGCCAUCUCCUUGCAUUGUACGCUUCCCUUUCCUGUUGGAUUGUAACGGGAUGCAGGAAGAGACCAAACAAAAUACCUAUAUAAGAACUUGCACGUACCUCCUCGCAUCAACACUGUUGGGAACUUCGCCUCCCCCGAUUUUCUGCUCGUGUCCCCAAACUUGAGUCCUCCAGUAUCAACUGUACCAUCCAUCCUCGAACGGACAAUGUCAAAGACCUCCUCGAUGGUCGAGCAGCUGAUCGAGCCGUUAACGUGAUCCUGCAUCUUGAGAGCAAUCGUCAUCUGAAAAGGCAGGUACGUCCUCUUUUUCUUCCGCUCAGGCAUCUCCUCUUUCUUGAUCCACUCUGGACUUCUCGCUCGCUUCUUCGACUGCUGCUGCAGCGGCUGAUCAUCUGGAACGUCUUCCACCACACACAAGGGUUCUGAAUCCAAAGACUUGCCACCCUCCAUCUUCACUAAAACGGUGUACACUUGGUCUUCCUCCUUCACGCCUUGCAGGCCCGACGGGACGUCAGGAUGCUCCCUUCUGAACGCCAUCAGCGAAGAGCACAAGGCGUCGUAGUCGCUUUUGUUCAUUGCUCUCUGCUUCAGUGCAGUCGAGAUAUGGAAAAGGACGAGUGGGGGGUACACCGAGUCUAUCGGAGGGAAUGUUGCUGGGCUGCUAGGCUGUAGAUAGUGGAGGCCAGGUACUUGCAGGUUGAGACUGUUGCCUGAGAAGAACUUCACGUCACGCUUCUCCAAAUGCAGGCCAAUGGCAGCAUCAUCGACGCUACAGAAGUGACCACCCUGCGAGAGUCGGUGGUGAGCAUAGCGUUCAAACAAGACCCAAGCUGCACUCCGCAGUGAAGGCAGUGCCCGAGUGCACUGCAUCCAGUCCUUGAUCUGUCCCUUGUAGCAUGCAAUGGCGAAACAAUCUACGACCCACUCCGAAGUGAAGGAGAUAUGAUCCACACAGGUAAAGUCCAGACUUGGCCAGGAAACGGAGGUCCCUGGCGAAAAUAAUCCACGGUCAAUGUUGAGCUCUCCCACUUUCACAGCAUGGUUCACAGCCAUGCCUAUCAUGUUGUAUACAAGUUCCAAAGGCAUGAAGUAGUACCUCACGAUUGGCCCGGCUAUGUAGUAAGUCGCCCAGAAGUCGACGUGCGACUUAUCUGCGUUCUCGGGCGCCGAGAAGUAAACCUGCUGCAACUCCUCGACAGACCAAGGAGGCAUGUAGAGCGCAAAGAAGCCUAUCUCAUUGAUGAGUUUGAGCGCGUCCACCCAAUUGCUCUCCUCCGGUGAUGCAAAGAGCACAGUAUGUCUAGCGAAGUUCCCAACAAACUCCUGAUCCGUGAGAAGCCAAGCCCCCGGGAUUUCGUAAUCCUCUUCAGAGACGGGCGCGUAACUCCCAUCCGGUUUGAAGAUGUAAACCCUCUCUUUUAUUUCGACGAGCUGAACUAUCACGGCCGGUAUCCCUUCUUCACUGAGGAGCCGUUUCAGGACGUACCACAGAAAGCACGACUUGCCGAUUCCAGGGUUUCCUGAUAUGUGGAUGUAGCUCUUGCCCAGGCUUGCGAGCUCUCUCAUGUCGGCAUAGAGAUCCUCAUAGCAUUCCCGUAUCCACACUUUCUGCCUCCUCCUGACGAUGGGAGGGAGAUCUAUCCACCUACCAUCAGGGUCUGUCGCUGCACGCCCAUCAUCCCCAACUGGCGCUAUCAAUUCCAUCCGCACCGCUCGGGCCCUAAACCUGAUAUACUCUAGCUCAACUUAGAAAAUAUAUUUGUUUUAAAAAUAAUUAUAUCAAAUCAAACUUUUGUAAACCUUGUUGAGAGAUUCAGCGUGAUGCCAUCAAAUUCAACUUUAUCCAGACCUUUUUGGUUGGCAUGACAUGGUUCCUUUUCUUUUUUAUCUUGUAUGUUUUGUAGAGCCAGAUUUUGCUCUUUGGAAUCCUGCUUAUAUGUGUAUUUGAAAGCCUCCCAAUCUUCCGUGACAGAUUCUGCAAGUUCCAGUAACGCAUCCCACGUAAAGCCUUGAUUGUUUUAUAUGAAAGAGAAAUAGCAAAUGCUCAAACCAAUACUUGUGUACAAAAAGACGCCUGUGACACCACCUGAGCUUGCAAGGAUGUCCUGAUGCCCUUCUUUGCAAAACUCUGGUCACAAAAACCAUCAAUUGCUUCGGUUAUAUCACUUACCAUCUUGACUCUUCCUUUGGCCUUAAAGAGGAAUUAGGCAGUAUGGUGAUCAACGUUGCCAAAUCCUUGCAAGACCUCUCAGUCAGAGAAAUAACAGCCCAAGAGAAACAAUGGAAGCUAUAAAUUGUUCUACCUGGAUCACAAAAGAAGUUUGGUUCAAGAGAGAUUUGCCAUGGUUAGCAAGUAAUGCUUCAGUCACGUAUACAACUCCUCUUUCAGUGCCAGCCUCACGUCCUACAGAGCCACUGAGGUCCUGAGAAGCAAAAACAAUAUAAGAGAAAAAAUCACAUAAUCAUAAAAAUACAAGCUUGCAAGUUGCUAUCCAGUGACCAUUGUUGGAGAGUACCCUUGAAACUUAGAGUAUUCAUCUAGAAUCCAAGCCAUGGUUUGUGAAGAAAUAAAUAUAUGAAAAUCCAUAAAAAAGGAAGAAAAAAAAUGUGAAUAAAACCUGAGCACAUGUCAGGUGCUGGAAUAUACAAACAUCAACAAUGUUUUGCGUAAAAACUCAAGUGAGCCACUCUAACUCAUAUGGGGAUUAUAGUCAUAAGGCCCUCUAGUUGUCACAUUAGACUUAAAACCCACAAACAAUUGCAAUGUGCCAUCAACCUUGGGAAUGGUAUAUUCAACUUGCAAAUUUGAUUAAGAUCCAAAAGACUAAGAAAAAGAAAAAAGAAAAAGACCUUGAAGAAAUUUGCCUUGAUUUCUUGAAAAGGGCAGGAGGCUCCUCCCCAAUUUUGAUUCCAAGUAUCUUUACAGUUUGCCUAAUGUAUCAAUUUGUAGCCUCAGAGAGAUUAUAAAAAUAUUUUAAUGGUAUGAGAGAUAUUUUUAUAUUGCCCCUUUUCCCUUGGAGGAUAAAUCACAAAGUUUAGUUAAGUAUGUUGCCUCCUAUUUGGCAACUCUACUAAAGAAUAUUACUUCAUUCACUAUAGUUUCUUUUCUUGGGUACAUAUCCUUGCUUUUUGAAAAAAUAAUGAAAAGAUGUUAAAAUAAAAGCUAAAAUAAUAGGAACCUUGAUAAAUGACUAUAUUGAAUAGGAUGAAAAAAAAACACCACUCUAUAUAUACAAAAAAUGCUUGGGCUAAACCUUGAUUAAUGGCUAUAUUGAACAAAAUGAAGAAAAACCUCCCCUAUAUAUAAAAGAAAUGUUAGGUAGAUUUAUAACAAAUGCCUAGAGACUAUUUAUCUCAACACUCCCUCUAGAAGAUCUUAUGAGCAUAGUUUCCCAUGGAUAAUUCAGCCCUUCAUGCCCUGCCAAAAAAUGCACCAAAUCACUAAAAAUUGACCAUGAUAUAAAAGCUUGGCUCAGGCAUCCCAAGGGACAACUGUCACAAGUUCUUCCUCCAAUCAAUGGCAAUUCUGUGCCUCACACACAUGUUUUCAUUUUAAGUUAUUAUCUUAAACGAGUUAUUAUCCUUAUAUAGUGUAAGGGUAUAUUGAUGGAUAGUUGAGAUAGGGAUAUUGUGGAAAAAAUAACAUAAUACAAGUAUAUAUUAUGUUCAUGCUUUCUUCCUCUAUAUUGAUUUUUCUAGCACAUUAUUAAAGCUUAUUAUUUAACAUAUGAAGCCCUGAAAUUUUUGUGUGGAUUUUAAGGGAAAGAAGAGUGGGAUAUGAUUGAUUGCUUUAUAACAAAAGCUGGAACACCAAAAGAUUGGUGCAUUCUAAAAAAUCAACUACCUAUUUAUUUAUAUUAUUCUUGCAUCUCUUUUUUUUGGGUUUAAUGUCAUUACAUUAUAAAUUUUGGGAACAGUGGAUCAUGUAAUAGUAGAUAUCCAGGUGAUAGUGAUACCUUUUGUGUACAAUAAAAAAAGUGUAAUUGCACUUUGGUAAUAAUAUGGAUCAUAAAUUAGUAAAAAAAAAAAAGAUGAUAUAGUUGCACAUGUUACAUAAAGUGUCUAUUCAUGUGAGAUGUGCUGUGCAAUUAAAACAUGAUUGUAUGCAUAAUAAUUUUGUGUGUAAUUAAAAACAAGAAAUAAGAAUAAUCUGAAUAAAUAAAAACUAUUUAUUUUAAUAUCACUCGUGCCUAAAAGAAAGUCCAAGAUGCUUAGGGUAAGAAAAAAAAGGAAAUUUUGUUGAAAUAAAAGUUUUAUUUGAUAUAAAUGUUUUUGAAAAAAAAUAUAUUUUCUAAGUUGGAGCUGAAGUAUAUAUAUAUAUAUCUAUAUAGAGAGAAUCACAUAAGUAUAUUCUCUCUUUAGGGCCCUAGUCAAAGCAUGGUGUAUGGAUGGUAUUUACGCAAGGUCUGCUACUACUCGUGUGGUUCCUUGUUUCCUGGAUGCAUUUUGGUGUCUAGACCUUCCACUACAACAACAUAAACAAGACAUUGUUGACACCUAGGAAAUAUAAAUCGCCAAUCCAAAAAAUGCUAACAACACCGAUAAGUAUGACUAACUUUAUCAGACUCCCAACAAUGGACAUCACGACCAUAACCACAUCCUCGCCUUUGUCUUUGAAUUUAGGCAACAGUAACAUCAACCUCCAUUGGAACAGAACCAUUUUUCAUAGGAAAUGGACUCUUGCUUCGUGUAGAGCUAAAUAUGUCAAAGUGGAUCAAACUAUAAAUGUUGUGGCUAACAUUUUGUCAAGAUUUUGUAGGAUUUAUGCAUGCACUUGCUCUAGCCAUCCUUGACAAUGCCCUUUGCUUGACAUAACGUUAUGAGACAUUGCCUCUUCCACUUCUCAUUACAAAUCCUUUAGCUCCACUUCCUCGAACGCCAAAUUGCAUCACCGACUCAUAUGGCUCUUGACGAAUAUGAUGUAAUUUUUAGAAGGCAUCAUCACAAUCGUUAGCAUAUCUAAAUGCACGUUUAAAUACGUCCAGGAAAAUAUUCCAACCUUCACAAAUAACUGUGCUUAUACCAUUGUACCACUGUAGCACCAUCCCUUGGAGAUAUGUGGGAAACUUAUGCAAACAUUGAGCAUCAUCCCAAAAAUGAUAUGUGCCAAUUAUCGUGAAGUGAUCAAACUAAUAAUACACAUCAUUCCCAAAAUUCCCACUGAAUAACUUUGGUUGGUAGGGUUUAGGGUUUAGGGUUUAGAGCCAAUGUCAAGGGCCAUACGAGUCGGUGAUGCAAUUUUGCGUUCGAGGAAGUGGAGCUGAAGGAUGUGUAGUGAUAAGUGGAAGAGGCAAUGUCUCAUAACGUUAUGUAAAACGAAGGGCAUUGUUAAGGAUGGCUAGAGCAAAUGCAUGCACAAAUCCUUGCAGCAGGAGGAGUUGUACCACAUGCUGUGAAUAUUGCCAUCAAUUAAGUUUGAUUGUUCAGUUGCAACUAUAUACCAGCAAAUAAUUGCACCAAUUGCUGCUCCAAUCAAAAGAGAAGGAAGUUGUUACUCUAUGAAUGAAAAGAAAUAAAUAAAAGAAAAGAAGUUGAGAAAAGCUAAAAGAAAAGGGAAAUCUAAACAAUGGAUCUACCCAACAUUCUAAUUAAAAUUGCCUUUCAUCUCCAUCAGUGCGAAUGCAUGGAAUAAGGAAAGAGAAUAUAAAAAAUCUGCAUAUCAAUUAGCCAAGAAACCUUAGUUUAUGUAUUAAUCAAAAUUAAAAUUAACCCGACGGCUAUUAAAAUCCCAUUACACUAAUAUUCAUAUAUAUAACAUCAUAGUUGUACACUUAGACCUCACAAGGAGUGCUGUGCCACAACUCUGACAAUUGUAUAUAUAUGGCAAUGGUACAUUAUUUUCUCUUCCUUUCUUUUGUUUUGGUUUGCAGUCUAAACUAGGAGAUGACUUGAUACAAACUCCAUGUCCUGAGACCUUAGCCCUUGACUGCACUAAACGUCUCGUGAUGACAAACAUAGCAAAGUGAUGAGAUUAUUUUAUUUGUUUACAGCCUCUUUUCUAAUUUCUCAGAGCGCUCAAAUGAUGCACCUAAACGAAAGUUGAGAAGUUGGAAAACACUUAAGCGAGAGUGUCUCUAGAGAGUGUGCCGCAGCUCUCUACCUCAAGUUGGCCAUCGUGCUUGCUUCUUCCAGAGGAGGAGGAGCUGGAGCGAGCUCGUCCAGUUCUUCCAGCUCACAAUCGCCACCUCUGUGGUAAAUCAUCGGCAAUCUCCCACGAAGGCAUGCGGACUAUCCACGCUCUUGGCUGAAUGUGCAUGUUCCUCCAGAGUCCAGCACACAAUCUUGAUGAUUGUGGAGGUAGACUGCACAGCCUGCAAGUCGAUGGUCACGGAGGGAUCUUAAUGAUAAAUGGCUUCAAUAUCUCGGAUUUUGCGGUUCCAGAUCAAGGACGUGAUAAAGGCUGCUUCCUUUCCCUACAGUCCCUGCGAUGACCGGCUCGUCUCACCCACUUUCGGCUCCUUCGAUAUGGAGCGCCACUACUCCCACGAAUCUGCUCGUCCCGGGCCCAGCUUGCCCACAAAUCGAUUUCCACGUGGCAUGUCCAGCUGUACUGAACCAUUUGAAUUUAGACGAAGUCAAGUACAUUCCAAACACACUUGUCAGCUUUAUACAUAACUAGUCUUCUUAUCCCGCUACCCCUCAUCCGAUGGGAACACGAAUUUAAUUAACGUCGAGGUUCUCAGCUUCGAUCUGAUGAGAACAUCUGCUGUGUCACCCGACCANNNNNNNNNNNNNNNNNNNNNNNNNNNNNNNNNNNNNNNNNNNNNNNNNNNNNNNNNNNNNNNNNNNNNNNNNNNNNNNNNNNNNNNNNNNNNNNNNNNNGAUAGUAGGCAGGGAAAACAUCACUGAUGUUUGAAGACGCUGGAAUAAAAGAAAAAAAUACAACAUUGAUACAAAUACCAGAUAACUGAUGCCUACCUCGUUCACGAAAAUUGUCAACUCUUUCCCAGCUAACUUACCAGCCGUGCACUUGAUACUCAAAGCAGUUUCCUCCUUCAAUUCAGUGUGUACUGUGGUCCGAACGGCUUCGAUCGAUAUGCCAAACACAGUCACGCCGUCUUCCAUCUCCUUGCAUUGUACACUUCCCUUUCCUGUUGGAUUGUAACGGGAUGCAGCAAGAGACCAAACAAAAUACCCAUAUAAGAACUUGCACGUACCUCCUCGCAUCAACACUGUUGGGAACUUCGCAUCCCCCGAUUUUUUGCUCAUGUCCCCAAACUUGAGUCCUCCAGUAUCAACUGUACCAUCCAUCCUCGAACGGACAAUGUCAAAGAUCUCCUCGAUGGUCGAGCAGCUGAUCGAGCAGUUAACGUGAUCCUGCAUCUUGAGAGCAAUCGUCAUCUGGAAAGGCAGGUACGUCCUCUUUUUCUUCCGCUCAGGCGUCUCCUCUUUCUUGAUCCACUCUGGACUUCUCGCUCGCUUCUUCGACUGCUGCUGCAGCGGCUGAUCAUCUGGAACGUCUUCCACCACACACAAGGGUUCUGAAUCCAAAGACUUGCCACCCUCCAUCUUCACUAAAACGGCGUACACUUGGUCUUCCUCCUUCACACCUUGCAGGCCCGACGGGACGUCAGGAUGCUCCCUUCUGAACGCCAUCAGUGAAGAGCACAAGGCGUCAUAGUUGCUUUUGUUCAUUGCUCUCUGCUUCAGUGCAGUCGAGAUAUGGAAAAGGACGAGUGGGGGGUACACCGAGUCUAUCGGAGGGAAUGUUGCUGGGCUGCUAGGCUGUAGAUAGUGGAGGCCAGGUACUUGCAGGUUGAGACUGUUGCCUGAGAAGAACUUCACGUCACGCUUCUCCAAAUGCAGGCCAAUGGCAGCAUCAUCGACGCUACAGAAGUGACCACCCUGCGAGAGUCGGUGGUGAGCAUAGCGUUCAAACAAGACCCAAGCUGCACUCCGCAGUGAAGGCAGUGCCCGAGUGCACUCCAUCCAGUCCUCGAUCUGUCCCUUGUAGCAUGCAAUGGCGAAACAAUCUACGACCCACUCCGAAGUGAAGGAGAUAUGAUCCACACAGGUAAAGUCCAGACUUGGCCAGGAAACAGAGGUCUCUGGCAAAAAUAAUGCACGGUAAAUGUUGAGCUCUCCCACUUUCACAGCAUGGUUCACAGCCAUGCCUAUCAUGUUGUAUACAAGUUCCAAAGGCAUGAAGUAGUACCUCACGAUUGGCCCGGCUAUGUAGUACGUCGCCCAGAAGUCGAUGUGCGACUUAUCUGCGUUCUCGGGCGCCGAGAAGUAAACCUGCUGCAACUCCUCGACAGACCAAGGAGGCAUGUA